UCCCAUAAACCGUGGCUCAGUUCAGAUCGUAGGCUGCAACUCGCCUACGUGAAGGCGGAAUCGCUAGUAAUCGCAGGUCAGCAUACUGCGGUGAAUACGUUCCCGGGCCUUGUACGCACCGCCCGUCACACCAUGGAAGUUGGCCACGCCCGAAGCCGUUACUCCAACCCUUGUGGAGGAGGACGUCGAAGGUGGGGCUGAUGACUGGGGUGAAGUCGUAACAAGGUAUCCGUACCGGAAGGUGCGGAUGGAUCACCUCCUAA
RNAcentral lists this ribosomal RNA (263 nucleotides) under uncultured Synechococcus sp. Its description in RNAcentral is "partial 16S ribosomal RNA". It matches the Rfam family "Bacterial small subunit ribosomal RNA", at positions 1272 to 1533 of the family's 1533-position model. Lineage: Bacteria; Bacillati; Cyanobacteriota; Cyanophyceae; Synechococcales; Synechococcaceae. The record is from RNAcentral.